This 72-nucleotide transfer RNA is filed under the name Capsaspora owczarzaki. Its description in RNAcentral is "tRNA-Trp". It matches the Rfam family "tRNA". Rfam says of the family: Transfer RNA (tRNA) molecules are approximately 80 nucleotides in length. Their secondary structure includes four short double-helical elements and three loops (D, anti-codon, and T loops). The record is from RNAcentral. Lineage: Eukaryota; Filasterea; Ministeriida; Capsasporidae.
AGGAGAAUAGUUUUAAUGGCAGAACUUCAGGCUUCAAACUUGACUGUGUUGGUUCAAAUCCAGCUUCUCCUG